Molecule: ribosomal RNA, 233 nt
Filed under: uncultured bacterium
Lineage: Bacteria
Description: partial 16S ribosomal RNA
Rfam family: Bacterial small subunit ribosomal RNA
Source: RNAcentral
AAUCCUGGCUCAGGGUGAACGCUAGCUACAGGCUUAACACAUGCAAGUCGAGGGGCAGCAUGGUCUUAGCUUGCUAAGGCUGAUGGCGACCGGCGCACGGGUGAGUAACACGUAUCCAACCUGCCGUCUACUCUUGGCCAGCCUUCUGAAAGGAAGAUUAAUCCAGGAUGGGAUCAUGAGUUCACAUGUCCGCAUGAUUAAAGGUAUUUUCCGGUAGACGAUGGGGAUGCGUU